Long non-coding RNA from Gallus gallus (chicken), 317 nucleotides. The record is from Ensembl. NCBI's taxonomy places the organism in Eukaryota, Metazoa, Chordata, Aves, Galliformes, Phasianidae.
AGGACUUGUCUGGGAGGGGAACACCACUGGGGAGCUGCUGUUCUGUGGCAUUCAUCCUGUAAAUCCAGAUACAUUUUUUCUUUGUACUUUUUCAAGAUCGUAUUUACAAAACAUUUGAAGAACAGGCGCAAUGACAGUUUAAUUAAUGUGUGUCAUUAAGCCUGGAGAUAAUCGAAACUCUGGUAAGAGCCAUGGAAAGGAACAGCGCCAGAAGAUGUGUUCUCAGCAGAUUUCAUCACUGGACUCGAGGGAUAUUGUUCUUGGCAAGGAGGAUGUGACUGAAAUCCAAAGGGAUCAAAACGUGUUCUUCUGCUAUC